Molecule: ribosomal RNA, 393 nt
Filed under: uncultured bacterium
Lineage: Bacteria
Description: partial 16S ribosomal RNA
Rfam family: Bacterial small subunit ribosomal RNA
Source: RNAcentral
AUACGGAGGAUGCGAGCGUUAUCCGGAUUUAUUGGGUUUAAAGGGAGCGUAGGUGGGAUAUUAAGUCAGCUGUGAAAGUUUGGGGCUCAACCUUAAAAUUGCAGUUGAUACUGGUUUCCUUGAGUACAGUAGAGGCAGGCGGCAUUCGGGGGGUGGCGGGUAAAUGCUUAGAUAUCACGAAGAACUCCGAUUGCGAAGGCAGCCUGCUGGACUGUAACUGACGCUGAUGCUCGAAAGUGUGGGUAUCAAACAGGAUUAGAUACCCUGGUAGUCCACACAGUAAACGAUGAAUACUCGCUGUUUGCGAUAUACAGUAAGCGGCCAAGCGAAAGCGUUAAGUAUUCCACCUGGGGAGUACGCCGGCAACGGUGAAACUCAAAGGAAUUGGCGGGG